This is a non-coding RNA of Pelobates cultripes (western spadefoot toad), 228 nucleotides long. The record is from the annotation of a GenBank genome assembly. NCBI's taxonomy places the organism in Eukaryota, Metazoa, Chordata, Amphibia, Anura, Pelobatidae.
ACACAAACAGCACCCUCAUACACACACAGCGCACUAACAGUACACUCACAAACACACAGCACCCACAAACAGCACCCUCACACAGCACAGCACACACACAGCACCUUCACACAGCACACUAACAGGACCCUAACAAACACACACACAGCACACUACCAGUACCCUCACGCACAGCACACAAACAGGACCCUCACACACAAACAGCACCCUCACACACAGAACAUUAAC